UACGGAGGUUCCAAGCGUUGUUCGGAAUUACUGGGCGUAAAGGGAGCGCAGGCGGACGGGUCAGUUUAAAGUGGAAUCCCAGGGCUCAACCCUGGACGUGCUUUGGAUACUGCCUGUCUUGAGUUCGUGAGAGGAAAGUGGAAUUCAGGGUGUAGCGGUGAAAUGCUUAGAUAUCCUGAGGAACACCAGUGGCGAAAGCGACUUUCUGGCACGAAACUGACGCUGAGGCUCGAAAGCAUGGGUAGCGAACGGGAUUAGAUACCCCGGUAGUCCAUGCCGUAAACGUUGUGUACUAGGUGCAGGAGGUAUCGACCCCUUCUGUGCCGAAGCUAACGCAUUAAGUACACCGCCUGGGGAGUACGCGCGCAAGCGUGAA
Molecule: ribosomal RNA, 376 nt
Filed under: uncultured bacterium
Lineage: Bacteria
Description: bacterial SSU rRNA
Rfam family: Bacterial small subunit ribosomal RNA
Source: RNAcentral